Molecule: ribosomal RNA, 1515 nt
Filed under: Triticum aestivum (bread wheat)
Lineage: Eukaryota; Viridiplantae; Streptophyta; Magnoliopsida; Poales; Poaceae
Description: partial small subunit ribosomal RNA
Source: RNAcentral
AUGGAGAUGGUGGAGAAGCUAUCUCUCACCACAAGACCACAUCCACAUCCUUACUACAUCCAAUGGUUCAACAACAGCGGCAAGGUUAAGGUAACACGUACUGUUCGUGUGCAUUUUAGUAUCUCUACCUAUACUGAUUAUGUUGAUUGUGAUGUGGUACCCAUGCAAGCAUGUUCCUUAUUACUAGGUAGACCAUGGCAAUUUGAUAAAAAUUCUGUACACCAUGGUAGAAACAAUCAGUAUACUCUUGUUCAUAAGGAUAAAAAUAUUACUUUGCUUCCUAUGACUCCUGAUUCCAUUUUGAAAGAUGACAUUAAUAGAGCUAAUAAAGCAAAACAGGAGAAAAAUAAGAGUGAAAAUCAGAUUGUGGCAAAGGAAUUUGAGCAACAAAUGAAACCUAAUAAUAAACCAUCUAGUGUUGUUUCUGAAAUUAAAUUGAAAAGUGCAUGUUUACUUGCCACAAAAUCUGAUAUUGAUGAACUAGAUUUCAGCAAAUCUGUUUGCUAUGCUUUUGUGUGCAAAGAGGCAUUAUUUUCAUUCGAGGACGUGCCUUCCUCUUUGCCCCCUGCUGUCACUAACAUUUUGCAGGAGUUCGCUGACGUCUUCCCACAAGACGUGCCACCGGGAUUACCACCUAUUCGAGGGAUUGAGCAUCAAAUUGACUUAAUUCCCGGUGCAUCGCUACCCAACCGUGCACCAUACCGUACCAAUCCAGAGGAGACGAAGGAGAUUAUGCGUCAAGUACAGGAGUUGCUCGACAAAGGUUAUAUACGCGAAUCUCUUAGUCCUUGUGCUGUUCCUAUUAUACUAGUUCCUAAAAAGGAUGGUACGUCGCGUAUGUGUGUUGAUUGUAGAGGCAUUAAUAAUAUUACUAUUCGUUAUCGUCAUCCUAUUCCUAGGCUAGAUGAUAUGCUUGAUGAAUUGAGUGGCUCUACAAUAUUCUCCAAAGUUGAUUUGCGUAGUGGAUACCAUCAAAUUCGUAUGAAAUUGGGAGAUGAAUGGAAAACUGCAUUUAAAACUAAGUUUGGUUUAUAUGAGUGGUUAGUCAUGCCUUUUGGGUUAACUAAUGCACCUAGUACUUUCAUGAGACUAAUGAACGAAGUUUUACGUGCUUUCAUUGGACGAUUUGUGGUAGUCUAUUUUGAUGAUAUACUGAUUUAUAGCAAAUCUUUGGAAGAACAUUUAGAACAUUUACGUGCUGUUUUUAUUGCUCUACGUGAUGCACGUUUGUUUGGUAACCUUGGGAAGUGCACCUUUUGCACCGACCGAGUAUCUUUUCUUGGCUAUGUUGUUACUCCACAGGGAAUUGAAGUUGAUAUAGCCAAGAUUGAAGCUAUUCAGAGUUGGCCGCAGCCCAAAACGGUCACACAAGUGCGGAGUUUUCUUGGACUCGCUGGUUUCUAUAGGCGUUUUGUGAGAGAUUUUAGCACCAUUGCUGCACCUCUCAACGAGCUUACAAAGAAGGAUGUGCCUUUUGUUUGGGUACCGCACAGGAAGAAGCCUUCACGGUAUUGA